This 1392-nucleotide ribosomal RNA is filed under the name Bacillus pumilus. Its description in RNAcentral is "bacterial SSU rRNA". It matches the Rfam family "Bacterial small subunit ribosomal RNA", at positions 107 to 1483 of the family's 1533-position model. Lineage: Bacteria; Bacillati; Bacillota; Bacilli; Caryophanales; Bacillaceae. The record is from RNAcentral.
UGAGUAACACGUGGGUAACCUGCCUGUAAGACUGGGAUAACUCCGGGAAACCGGAGCUAAUACCGGAUAGUUCCUUGAACCGCAUGGUUCAAGGAUGAAAGACGGUUUCGGCUGUCACUUACAGAUGGACCCGCGGCCCAUUAGCUAGUUGGUGGGGUAAUGGCUCACCAAGGCGACGAUGCGUAGCCGACCUGAGAGGGUGAUCGGCCACACUGGGACUGAGACACGGCCCAGACUCCUACGGGAGGCAGCAGUAGGGAAUCUUCCGCAAUGGACGAAAGUCUGACGGAGCAACGCCGCGUGAGUGAUGAAGGUUUUCGGAUCGUAAAGCUCUGUUGUUAGGGAAGAACAAGUGCGAGAGUAACUGCUCGCACCUUGACGGUACCUAACCAGAAAGCCACGGCUAACUACGUGCCAGCAGCCGCGGUAAUACGUAGGUGGCAAGCGUUGUCCGGAAUUAUUGGGCGUAAAGGGCUCGCAGGCGGUUUCUUAAGUCUGAUGUGAAAGCCCCCGGCUCAACCGGGGAGGGUCAUUGGAAACUGGGAAACUUGAGUGCAGAAGAGGAGAGUGGAAUUCCACGUGUAGCGGUGAAAUGCGUAGAGAUGUGGAGGAACACCAGUGGCGAAGGCGACUCUCUGGUCUGUAACUGACGCUGAGGAGCGAAAGCGUGGGGAGCGAACAGGAUUAGAUACCCUGGUAGUCCACGCCGUAAACGAUGAGUGCUAAGUGUUAGGGGGUUUCCGCCCCUUAGUGCUGCAGCUAACGCAUUAAGCACUCCGCCUGGGGAGUACGGUCGCAAGACUGAAACUCAAAGGAAUUGACGGGGGCCCGCACAAGCGGUGGAGCAUGUGGUUUAAUUCGAAGCAACGCGAAGAACCUUACCAGGUCUUGACAUCCUCUGACAACCCUAGAGAUAGGGCUUUCCCUUCGGGGACAGAGUGACAGGUGGUGCAUGGUUGUCGUCAGCUCGUGUCGUGAGAUGUUGGGUUAAGUCCCGCAACGAGCGCAACCCUUGAUCUUAGUUGCCAGCAUUCAGUUGGGCACUCUAAGGUGACUGCCGGUGACAAACCGGAGGAAGGUGGGGAUGACGUCAAAUCAUCAUGCCCCUUAUGACCUGGGCUACACACGUGCUACAAUGGACAGAACAAAGGGCUGCAAGACCGCAAGGUUUAGCCAAUCCCAUAAAUCUGUUCUCAGUUCGGAUCGCAGUCUGCAACUCGACUGCGUGAAGCUGGAAUCGCUAGUAAUCGCGGAUCACAUGCCCGGGGGGAAAUCCGUUCCCGGGGCCUUGUACACACCGCCCGUCACACCACGAGAGUUUGCAACACCCGAAGUCGGUGAGGUAACCUUUAUGGAGCCAGCCGCCGAAGGUGGGGCAGAUGAUUGGGGUGA